Molecule: long non-coding RNA, 226 nt
Filed under: Solanum tuberosum (potato)
Lineage: Eukaryota; Viridiplantae; Streptophyta; Magnoliopsida; Solanales; Solanaceae
Description: long non-coding RNA (STUB_LNC000939)
Source: RNAcentral
UGAACACAUUUUCUUUGGAUUCUUAAGAUGGAAAGUUUCAACCAAACCUAUAGUAAUUGUAAUUGGAAAAAUAAUAAGAUAUUGCGAAGAGAAAAUAGUCUGAGAAAAUGCUAGCAGAGGAAAGGGAAAAACGUAUGUAGGUAAGGAAAUAAAAAUGAUAUUUACAACUGAUAAAUAUCAUGUGCAAUGAACUAUUUGAAUGUAGACAAAAGCACUUGCAUAUAGG